This 925-nucleotide long non-coding RNA is filed under the name Homo sapiens (human). Its description in RNAcentral is "HSALNT0232418". Lineage: Eukaryota; Metazoa; Chordata; Mammalia; Primates; Hominidae. The record is from RNAcentral.
UGCGUCUCAGUUUGCCUCAGACUUAAGUGGCUGGUGGAAGUGAGAGAUCUCUAAAGAUUCACCCAAUCCCAUUGUUCUAAGGUAAUAAAUCCUAUAAUUGCUGUAUCCUCAGAACCCAGCACGGGGCACUGCAUACGGUAGAUCUGCUUAACCAUGUACCAAAUGCAUCCGCCUCUUCCCCAACAUCCAUUACUACUGGAACCCACCAAGAACUGAAUUCCAUGGUACUUCUCAGGAUUCUUGAGGUCUGGACUAAGCCCUGGAUUGGGAAAGACGUGUUUAUGAUGCAGACCAGUUGGGGAGAUUUUUCUUGAAGGAGCAGCAGCUUGGGAAUAGCUGACCUGGUGAGAGCAUUCCUCUUCAUCUUGGCUCUGUCUGCUGUAGUUGGGGGUGCAGAUCCUGAGACUCAGAGAGGUUAAGAAACUCGCCCAACGCCACACAGCUAGAUAAACACCUCAGGAUUUAAAUAGAUUGCAGGGGACACCAACAAGGCUCUGCUCAGAUCCCCUCAGAUCCCUCUGGCCCAUCUGUGCAUGCAGUAACAUCUGCUUCACCGUUGACUGCUUGAACCUGUGGAUCCACUUCACCUAAGAGCACAGAGAGCUGAAAGGGCCUGGAAUCCUGUUGCCUCCCGGGCAGCCUGCAGCCAAUGAGUAACUGGUGCUGGAAAACAGAAGGCUGCUCCCUUGCUGGAGUGAACAUGCAUUAUUUGUGUAAUAAACAGAAACAAAAAUCUCGUUGUUUAAAGCCAUCCAUGAAGACCAUGUGAGAGGGUGGAAAAGGGAGGCUGGAUUCUACUAAUUGGAUUGGAGGAAGAUGUAGCAAGGAAGAAGAAAUGGGCCCUUGGCAUGUGGCAGGGAGGGGACCUACUUAAUCAAACUCAAUGAUAACAGGAGUAACGGUGAUUAAACUUCUUUGAUUCAAC